RNAcentral lists this ribosomal RNA (131 nucleotides) under Salmonella enterica. RNAcentral's name for it is "partial 16S ribosomal RNA". It matches the Rfam family "Bacterial small subunit ribosomal RNA", at positions 1 to 124 of the family's 1533-position model. The record is from RNAcentral. Lineage: Bacteria; Pseudomonadati; Pseudomonadota; Gammaproteobacteria; Enterobacterales; Enterobacteriaceae.
AAAUUGAAGAGUUUGAUCAUGGCUCAGAUUGAACGCUGGCGGCAGGCCUAACACAUGCAAGUCGAACGGUAACAGGAAGCAGCUUGCUGCUUUGCUGACGAGUGGCGGACGGGUGAGUAAUGUCUGGCUGG